Long non-coding RNA from Centruroides sculpturatus (bark scorpion), 245 nucleotides. RefSeq lists it as uncharacterized. The record is from RefSeq and is a predicted model, not a curated record. The transcript is spliced from 2 exons. NCBI's taxonomy places the organism in Eukaryota, Metazoa, Arthropoda, Arachnida, Scorpiones, Buthidae.
UCGAGACUUUUACUUCCUAACCGGUUUUAUUAACACUUCAUUCGCUAGAGGGCAGUAUAAAAUCUGACAUCCUGUUAACGUCAUCGCAAUGACGUUUGGUGAUGAAAUCACUUGUUGUAGAAGAGUCGAAGGGAACAGUGUGUUAUCAAAAUAUUUUUAUAAUAUGACGAAAAUUUAACCACUGAAGCAUUAACAGAGUAUUCGCAUUUUGAAAGUGAAAUACAUUGAAGAUGGCAGGAGCAGAG